GACGAACGCUGGCGGCGUGCUUAACACAUGCAAGUCGAACGGAAAGGCCUGCUUUCCCUUGUGGAUUGCGGGUACUCGAGUGGCGAACGGGUGAGUAACACGUGAGUGAUCUGCCCCCAACUUGGGUAUAAGCCUGGGAAACUGGGUCUAAUUCCCGAUAGGACUGCAGGGUGGUGCCUGUGGUGGAAAACGAUUUUCUAGUGGUUGGGGUUGAGCUCGCGGCCUAUCAGCUUGUUGGUGGGGUAAUGGCCUACCAAGGCGGCGACGGGUAGCCGGCCUGGGAGGGUGGACGGCCACAUUGGGACUGAGAUACGGCCCAGACUCCUACGGGAGGCAGCAGUGGGGAAUAUUGCACAAUGGGCGGAAGCCUGAUGCAGCGACGCCGCGUGGGGGAUGACGGCCUUCGGGUUGUAAACUCCUUUCGACCGCGAGGAAGCCACCUGGUUGGAAGGGUGGUGACGGUAGUGGUAGAAGAAGCACCGGCUAACUACGUG
RNAcentral lists this ribosomal RNA (494 nucleotides) under uncultured bacterium. Its description in RNAcentral is "partial 16S ribosomal RNA". It matches the Rfam family "Bacterial small subunit ribosomal RNA", at positions 28 to 507 of the family's 1533-position model. The record is from RNAcentral.